ACGCAACACGGCAGUUACGUCGCAAUAACUAGACUUAUCUCCACUGCGCUGCGAUAAGUCAGCGCUUAUUGACUCCUUACUGCCGUGUAGCGUUACAAACCGCCACGGCCCCAAACGAUAAUCCCAAUCUCUCAAACCGACAAUAGCCUCCACUCAUGCCUCAAGCGGCCUAGCAACUCAUUCGUGGCCCUCAGCGGCCUCCUACCUCCGGCCUCGCAGCUCCCGAUACCCCACCAAGUCCGCCGUGCCCGCCCCAGCCCGCCCGUGUUGAGGUUGCACUAGUGGCCGAAAGUGCUGCCAGUACUGGGUGUGUCGCAUGUAUGAAGUGCCUGAUAGCAGCAGAGUCCAGACAACCACGCACGCCGCAGCGCCCACGGGUGCCACCACAUUAAUCCGCGGCGGCACCAGGGGGGGCGGGUGGGUUGUCACCGUCCCGGCAGAGGGACGAUCCGAAAUACAGUACAGAAGCACAACGGCAGAUAAGGCGCCGUGUGCUCCUGACGCGUACAAGACCCAGCUCGGUUCGGCCCCAUGCACAGGCACGUACCCGAGCGUCCUGCGCCGUGCGUGACUCUAACGCAACACGGCAGUUACGUCGCAAUAACUAGACUUAUCUCCACUGCGCUGCGAUAAGUCAGCGCUUAUUGACUCCUUACUGCCGUGUAGCGUUACAAACCGCCACGGCCCCAAACGACAAUCCCAAUCUCUCAAACCGACAAUAGCCUCCACUCAUGCCUCAAGCGGCCUAGCAACUCAUUCGUGGCCCUCAGCGGCCUCCUACCUCCGGCCUCGCAGCUCCCGAUAACCCCACCAAGUCCGCCGUGCCCGCCCCAGCCCGCCCGUGUUGAGGUUGCACUAGUGGCCGAAAGUGCUGCCAGAGUUUGGUAGUAGUCCUCAACGCCGGGAGGUCAUGGUGCGGGCGACGGCAGCCCUGGUGGCUGGGCUUGAUUGGCUUCGCGUAUGCAGCUCUUCUCGCAAAGCGC
This 983-nucleotide long non-coding RNA is filed under the name Chlamydomonas reinhardtii. RNAcentral's name for it is "long non-coding RNA (CREI_LNC000650)". The record is from RNAcentral. Lineage: Eukaryota; Viridiplantae; Chlorophyta; Chlorophyceae; Chlamydomonadales; Chlamydomonadaceae.